Long non-coding RNA from Lagenorhynchus albirostris (white-beaked dolphin), 271 nucleotides. RefSeq lists it as uncharacterized. The transcript is spliced from 3 exons. NCBI's taxonomy places the organism in Eukaryota, Metazoa, Chordata, Mammalia, Artiodactyla, Delphinidae. The record is from RefSeq and is a predicted model, not a curated record.
CCAUGAGGAGUAGAAGAGAAUGAGAGUGAAAUCAGAGCUGUUGUGCUAGAUCACGACAGGGAUGGAGCAGAAAACAAAGUACCGUUUUAAAAGGAGGUGUUAUCAUCAAACACAGAACCUGCUUCGUUCACAACCGCACCCCUUUUCUGGCCUCCUCUUCCCACCUGUACUCAUGUGGGCUCUCUACCUGCUGAGUCAUCGCGGCAUGGCGAUGGAGAAAAUAACUUUCCUGUAGCUGAGAGCUGGGGGAACUGUUUUGAAGCAGGAAUGA